UGGGGGAUAUUGCACAAUGGGCGAAAGCCUGAUGCAGCGACGCCGCGUGGGGGAUGAAGGCCUUCGGGUUGUAAACUUCUUUUGCUCUGAACAAGGCGCACCAUGGGGUGUGUUGAGUGUAGGGGUUGAUUAGCGCCGGCUAACUACGUGCCAGCAGCCGCGGUAAUACGUAGGGCGCGAGCGUUGUCCGGAAUUAUUGGGCGUAAAGGGCUUGUAGGUGGCUGGUUGCGUCUGUCGUGAAAGCCCAUGGCUUAACUGUGGGUUGGCGGUGGUUACGGGCUGGCUUGAGUGCAGUAGGGGAGGCUGGAAUUCCUGGUGUAGCGGUGGAAUGCGCAGAUAUCAGGAGGAAUACCGGUGGCGAAGGCGGGUCUCUGGGCUGUUACUGACACUGAGGAGCGAAAGCAUGGGGAGCGAACAGG
This 419-nucleotide ribosomal RNA is filed under the name bacterium. Its description in RNAcentral is "partial 16S ribosomal RNA". It matches the Rfam family "Bacterial small subunit ribosomal RNA", at positions 355 to 776 of the family's 1533-position model. The record is from RNAcentral.